GAUUGUACCAUGAGUGCGUCCUGAGUGCGUCAUGAUUGCGUCAUAAGUUGAUAUGCAUUCAGUACAAUUCACACUUCAAAAUCACUAUCUCAAAAUUUACUUUAAAAUAGAAAACGUCAUUGAAAAAUAAAUAAAUGCAAUAAAAUAAUAUCCACAAUAAUUCUUCAUAUUCAUGAGGAUCGACAUAGAUUUCAUUACUUGAACAAAUUUUGUAAUUUAUAAUAAAAGAUUUCUAAAAUUAAAAUAAAUCAGUAUGAUUGUACCAUGAGUGCGUCCUGAGUGCGUCAUGAUUGCGUCAUAAGUUGAUAUGCAUUCAGUACAAUUCACACUUCAAAAUCACUAUCUCAAAAUUUACUUUAAAAUAGAAAACGUCAUUGAAAAAUAAAUAAAUGCAAUAAAAUAAUAUCCACAAUAAUUCUUCAUAUUCAUGAGGAUCAGCAUAGAUUUAAUUACCUGAACAAAUUUUGUAACUUAAAAUAGAAGACAAGAAUAAAAUGGAAGACUACUAAAAAAGCUUUGGUCAUUUAGCUCUGGUUUGCUGUCAAACUAUACUGUCUAUAGCCUAAGUUUGAAUUCCCUGAAUUACAAGAUUUGUCGACAGGCUUUCUUAAAGUAUUUUUGACAGUGUUUUAGGAUUUGUUAUCGACAGGGGGCACGACGUACGCGCGUUACGCGAUAAGUUUUCUUGUUUCCGUCGCGUGCCUCCGUCCGUUACGUACGCGCCCGAACGGCUGACCGACCGGUCUUCUGUUUCCUUCUCGUUCGACCUCGAAAGGAAUCGCGGCGUAAAGCGUAAGAUUUCUCCUUCCUCGUCGCGCGUGCCACGCUCGUGUUUCUUCGUUCGAAUCGUUUUCUCCUACGAACGUCCUUUUCGUUUGCUUCGGAUGCCAGUGCCGAUAAUCUCUGUCCGAAUACCUCUAACGACAGUUGCAUUUGUUUAUGGUCAUCUCGACAAAUCGAUUUCGUAAAUUCGAUUAUGAAGAUUUAAAAAAAUUUGAAAAUGAAAUUUUUACAAGUACAGCACUUUCAGUAAACUUCAUCACGAAUAUUCUAUUUUAUCGUCAGGUAUUUUUCGACAGAAUUACUUCAUGUUUAAUGACGUCAAUUUCGGAAGAUAUUUGACAGAUGCAUAUGUAAACAAAAUGGCGGCAAAACAAGUGCGUCUAUACGCAGCUAGAGUUUUCGAAAACAUGUUUAGUGUCAAAAACGUAAAAUAGUAAAUAUAUUUAUGCUAAACAAGUUGCGUGAAAUAAAUAAUAGUAAAUAUUGUGAGUUAAAAAUCUCAGUAGCAGUUUAUUUAUAACUGUUGCUUCUGUCCCCCACCACGACGCGGAUAACCGUUUUACGGGACUCGCAAGUAAGCGAAAAGUUUCGUCGGCGUUGCCAGCUUGCGUUUCCAGCUAUCCGAUGAAACGACGCGUUACAGUUUUUCGUACAGCUCGUACAACGGGAGUUUCCAGUUUCUCCGUGAAUAGGAAACCGUGUAUCUUUCACCAACGAAAAUGCGUUAACUAGCAUUUAAUUUUCGCGGUGUAGAAAUAAGAUGGACGAAGCUUCUAGAAAAUUCGAUGCCUGAAUUUCUGUUUAUUUUUAGGUCCUGUAAACCCUUCUGACAUCCGAGGUCCAGAAACUUUAAAGCAAAAAAAGCAAAAUGAAAAAGCACUGGAAUUUGAAGAGAGAGGAUUGGCGGGAUUCUGCGGCGAAUAUUUUUUAAUAUUUUUACCUGUUGCUAUUUUCGAGCUUUCCCGACCUAUCGCAACGACUUCGAUAUAAAGCCGGCGUUGAACGUGAAAAUGUCGCGUGGGCGUAUCUCCGGGCGUCGGGGCGCCGGGCGUCGCUACUGGGUACACCGGCCACGGAGUUUCCAUGGCGAUCACUCACCAGCUGACCAUGAUUUCAACCUGACGUCAUAGCUUUCGAAAGGACAACCACGCGCCGCCGACGUGUUAUCGGUUAACGAGUUUACCUCCUCCCCUCUCUAACCAUUUUUCACCGUUACGUCAGAGCAAGAAAAUCAUCGCGUCAAAAUAACGAGUGCGUGGGUGCGGCUACCUGACGCGGUUUUUACGGAAUCAAAAUUUACGUUUUAACGCUAAAUUGACGCAUAUAUUAUAGUAAAGAUGGAGGUAGAGAUAGGUAGAUGUAUCAUUUAUGCCAUAUAACAAGUAUUCCAUCGAAAGGCAAUGUCUGCAGUUCCUUUAUUUAAAAAUCGCACGAACCCCGCCUGGACAGGAGACCAUUUUUAAUGAUAAUCUAUGAAAUAUCGCUGUCAAGAUUCUUUGCGUUACGUAUACGGACCUCUAAAGUAGGCCACGAACGUAGAUCGAAUUUGAAGCGACUGCGGUGAAAUGGGGUUACACAGCUGUAUCAUUUAUGAAUCCGUUGAAAUGCUAGACUGAAUGCUGUUUCCGAAAACGAGCAAAAUAUAUGUACACCGUACGAAAAACUGUAAAUCGUUAUGAUUUUUGUAUCUCAAAAUUAACCUCUUGCACUGUGACUUGUCAGAUGCGUCAGAACUGAUCUAUCAUAUUUACACAGACAAAGAAGAAGUGUUAUGUCAAUUAUAUAUUAUGCAAUAGAUGACUAUGCAAAUUAUUGAACUUCGUAUUGAAGCGUAUUAAAAAUCCGAGUAAAGUCGUAGUUGAAAUUCAAGUGCGUCAUGGGUGCGUCAUGAGUACACUAGUGUGUCAUGAGUGCGUCACGAGACUGAAAACAGUGCAAGGAGUUAAAUAUCGCGUAUUCAAAAAUCUGUAGAAGCUAUAAUAAUGCAACUGCGUUUUCUGUUGAAUCACUAUUAAAAUCAGAGUAAAAUCAGCUGAAAUACUAGUGCGUCGUAGGUGCGUCAUGAGUACACUAGUGUCAUGAGUGCGUCACGAGACUGAAAAUAGUGCAAGGAGUUAAAUAUUGCGUAUUCAAAAAUCUGUAGAAGCUAUAAUAAUGCAACUGCGUUUUCUGUUGAAUCACUAUUAAAAUCAGAGUAAAAUCAGCUUAAAUACAAGUGCGUCAUAGGUGCGUCGUGAGUACACUAGUGUUAUGAGUGCGUCACGAGACUGAAAACAGUGCAAGGAGUUAAAUAUCGCGUAUUCAAAAAUCUGUAGAAGCUAUAAUCGUGCAACUGAGUUUUCUAUUUAAUCACUAUUAAAAUCAGAGUAAAAUCAGCUGAAAUACAAGUGCGUCAUAGGUGCGUCACGACUACACGACUGUGUCAUGAGAGUGUCACGACCGAGGCUCGUGGAAAUAGUGCAAAGAGUUAAAUAUCACGUAUUCAAAAAUCUUUACAAGCUACAAUCGUGCAAUUGCGUUUUUUAUUUAACCACUAUUUCUAAUCUUAUAUAAUUACUGAAAUUUGCAUGUACACGCUUAUAUAAUCGUUGCAAGAUGUAAUUGCGUCAACUAACCUGAGGUUAAAUUAUGUCGCAGUAUUUUUUACACGAGAACAAUUUCGCUUUUAUGUUCCCGAAAUUCGAUCUAAAAUUAGACGUCGGAGAAAGUCACUCUUGGAAAUUUGAUGUCGUCACGUUUGCUAAGAAUUUAAUUUGCUUAAAUCGUUGUAAGUCGAGCAAACUUUGAGCUUCUGUGUAAAACUAUAUUUUUAAUCGGACCGUGAUAACUAUUUAAUUUGAAUCGUUGAUAACGCUGUUUCAUAAAAUCAUUCGAUAAGCUAAAAAUAUUUGAGAACCUUUGGGAAACGGCGGUUUAAAGCUUUGUUCGUCGCAGCUUUGGAAAGCAGAAUGUACAGGAACCUUCGUCACGUGAUGAAGUAUUGAGUCAAGUAUCUCUUUUCAUAAAAUAAAGCAGUGUUACGGUAAGUAUAUUUUGUAGCUGAUCUACAGUCACGCAGGAGUUUCAGAAAUGGCUGUACGGUAAGUAUGAAGCUUCGUACUGGAAAAAUAGAGUUAAAUAUAAAUGGUUAUAGAAAGCUUAGUCAUCUAACAGUGGACAGAGAAAUAGUACUUCACAUUUUUAAUAAAUUUGACUAUUUAGGGACUCUGUAGGGUUUAUAAUUAUGAGGAAAACAUACUAAGGCCAAAUAAGACGAGUUUGUGGAGAGUAUUGUAGCGUAGCAGUGCAAAAAAUGAAUAUUAAUUGAAAUAGGUCGAACACGAUAAAAAUGGCGCCAUCUGUCAGUACGAUGUACACCUGUCAAGAUAUAAAAUUGCGAUUUUCUGGAAAAUUAGAGGAUUUUAUAUUGUUUUGGACUUUUUAAAAUGUUCAAUAUCCUUAAUAGAACAGAAAUAAUGCCAUAAUAACACGUU
Megachile rotundata (alfalfa leafcutting bee) is the source of this 4256-nucleotide long non-coding RNA. Lineage: Eukaryota; Metazoa; Arthropoda; Insecta; Hymenoptera; Megachilidae. The record is from RefSeq and is a predicted model, not a curated record.